GCGAAAGCCUGACGCAGCGAGGCCGCGGGAGGGAUGAAGGUUCUCGGAUCGUAAACCUCUAUCAGAAGGGAAGAAACCGCACCGUGCUAAUCAGCGGUGCAUUGACGGUACCUUCAAAGGAAGCACCGGCUAACUCCGUGCCAGCAGCCGCGGUAAUACGGAGGGUGCAAGCGUUGUCCGGAUUUACUGGGUGUAAAGGGUGCGUAGGCGGCACUGCAAGUCAGGCGUGAAAUAUAUGGGCUUAACCCAUAGACUGCGUUUGAAACGGUGGUGCUCGAGUGAAGUAGAGGUAGGCGGAAUUCCCGGUGUAGCGGUGAAAUGCGUAGAGAUCGGGAGGAACACCAGUGGCGAAGGCGGCUUACUGGGCUUUAACUGACGCUGAGGCACGAAAGCAUGCGUAGCAAACA
RNAcentral lists this ribosomal RNA (407 nucleotides) under uncultured bacterium. RNAcentral describes it as "bacterial SSU rRNA". It matches the Rfam family "Bacterial small subunit ribosomal RNA", at positions 375 to 774 of the family's 1533-position model. The record is from RNAcentral.